This 253-nucleotide ribosomal RNA is filed under the name uncultured bacterium. RNAcentral's name for it is "partial 16S ribosomal RNA". It matches the Rfam family "Bacterial small subunit ribosomal RNA", at positions 524 to 776 of the family's 1533-position model. The record is from RNAcentral. RNAcentral also lists the same sequence under 2 other names.
UACGUAGGGUGCGAGCGUUGUCCGGAAUUAUUGGGCGUAAAGGGCUCGUAGGCGGUUUGUCGCGUCGGGAGUGAAAACCAGGUGCUUAACACCUGGCUUGCUUUCGAUACGGGCAGACUAGAGGUAUUCAGGGGAGAACGGAAUUCCUGGUGUAGCGGUGAAAUGCGCAGAUAUCAGGAGGAACACCGGUGGCGAAGGCGGUUCUCUGGGAAUGACCUGACGCUGAGGAGCGAAAGUGUGGGGAGCGAACAGG